GCGUGUGUGAUGAAGGCUUUCGGGUCGUAAAGCACUGUUGUAUGGGAAGAAAUGCUAAAAUAGGGAAUGAUUUUAGUUUGACGGUACCAUACCAGAAAGGGACGGCUAAAUACGUGCCAGCAGCCGCGGUAAUACGUAUGUCCCGAGCGUUAUCCGGAUUUAUUGGGCGUAAAGCGAGCGCAGACGGUUGAUUAAGUCUGAUGUGAAAGCCCGGAGCUCAACUCCGGAAUGGCAUUGGAAACUGGUUAACUUGAGUGUUGUAGAGGUAAGUGGAACUCCAUGUGUAGCGGUGGAAUGCGUAGAUAUAUGGAAGAACACCAGUGGCGAAGGCGGCUUACUGGACAACAACUGACGUUGAGGCUCGAAAGUGUGGGUAGCAAACAGGAUUAGAUACCCUGGUAGUCCACACCGUAAACGAUGAAUACUAGGUGUUAGGAGGUUUCCGCCUCUUAGUGCCGAAGCUAACGCAUUAAGUAUUCCGCCUGGGGAGUACGACCGCAAGGUUGAAACUCAAAGGAAUUGACGGGGACCCGCACAAGCGGUGG
This 545-nucleotide ribosomal RNA is filed under the name Leuconostoc citreum. RNAcentral's name for it is "bacterial SSU rRNA". It matches the Rfam family "Bacterial small subunit ribosomal RNA", at positions 399 to 935 of the family's 1533-position model. Lineage: Bacteria; Bacillati; Bacillota; Bacilli; Lactobacillales; Lactobacillaceae. The record is from RNAcentral.